ACAAUAACAUCUAUUUGGGGUUGUGACAUGGACACUGAGAAAAUGCGAAUUGAAUGACGUCUGUCAAAAGUGAUUCAGACGAAGAUAUGAGAAGUAGUGAUUAGUAAUUGUUAAUUUAUUUUUGUUGCACAAUAGUUCAAUAAGUUUUAAUUUUAGUAAAUGUUUCACUAGUUACUCUGAAACGUAUGAUACAGUUUAUCAGUGCUUGUAAAAUUGAGGUACAAUCGGUUUUGUGAUGGGAAAAUACAGGUGUAAUUCACAAUGCUUAGAAACAAAUUAGAUGUAUGUUGACUAGAGAAUGUACCGUACUGCUAAUUAAAUAAGAUCAGUUGGCAAAACUAGAAAUGGAGACUCUGCCUGCAGAAGUGGUGGAAAUGAUUGCUCUAUUCUUGAGUAUAAAAGACCUGAAAGCAUGCUGUGGUACUACUCACACAUGGCGUGACAUUUUUGGUCAAGACACUAUAUGGAAACGUCAUUGCAACCGGGCUUUGGCCAAGUGCCUUGGUGCUGCCCAGAGUAGAGUGGAACCCAAGUUUGUGUUGUCAGAGGAGGAGCAUUUAAAGAACUUGAGCCCCUUGGGUGAAUGGAGACAGGCUUACUUGCAGGAACAACUUUUGUGGAGUCACUGGAGAAAUGGGAACUAUGUGAUGGAAGAACUAACUAUAAAAAGCUCAUACAAAUACUGGAUUACCACUAGCAAUGGAAAAUCUGCCCGUGGAAAUGGUAGAGAAUAUAGCCCAAUAUUUAACUACGAAAGAACUGGCAGCAUGCUGUGCUACCAGUCGAGUUUGGCGAGACAUUUUUGGUGAAGACGGUAUAUGGAAAUAUCGAUGUAACACACAUAUAGCCAAGUAUCUUGCUACUGCUGAGAGUAGAGUAAAUCCACAGUUUGUGAUACCGGAGUGUAUGAAUGUAGAAAACUCGUUAAAUCCACUGGGAGAGUGGAGAUUGUCUUAUUUACGAGAACAACUUCUAUGGAGUCAUUGGAAGAACAGGAAACAGGUGACUGAGCAUCUAACGUUGAUUGAUCAAUCUGAACCUGAAAAAGUAAGAGUCGGUGACAACGCGUUGUGUCAUUUUGUCACAGAUAACUAUUUGAUUACAUCAAAUGAGAAAAGAGUAAUGUUGUGGGAUGUCCGAAAUUGUCCUGUGUAUGUGAGUGAUCCCUUCAAGCUUUUAUCAUCUAACGGAGUGGAUUUUUGUUUAGCAUUGAGUAAUGACAAGAUUCUUAUUGUGCAGAAAACUCUUGUUCAGAUUUAUUAUUGCGGAUCACCUAUGAACUCCAACUGGAGUUUAGAACAAAACUUUUUGUUUGAUAGAUCUGAACUGAUUUCAUUAAGUAAAACAGAAGAAAUGGUGAAUUUUCCCCUUACUUUCAGUAACCUUGUGAUUGGGAAUUAUUUUGUAGGAAUCUUGUCUUCGGGAGAAAUGCACAUUUGGGAUCUUGCAUCUGGAACAAAGAUGAAGAAAGUUUCAUAUCCUGGCAGUAUGAAUGAUGAGAUCAUUAAAGUUGUAAGUUCUAUGACACCACCAACAGACAUCGUUGUUGUAAUUCAAAGAAAUUCCAUGUAUCACUUCUUUGUCUUCUGUUUUGCCAGUUUGGAUUUUUAUCCCUUUACAACUAGUCAUGACAAUCAGAGAUUUCCUUCUUGUGCAAUCCAAAACGGAUUGUUGGCUAUCAGUUUAAAUGGCCAUUUUAAAGUGUUUGAUUAUCGCACCUCACAGUUGGCGUUAGUAGUGCCUGCCGAAUACUCAGUAGGAGUGUUGACCUUAGACAGUUCUUUUCUUUUUAUAUCAAAGAAUACUGUACACGUAUUCAAUACUAUCACAGCAUCUUUUGAAUCAGUACUUCUAGCAUUAAUAGAUCCAUUUGAAGAUAUAAACAGUAUAACUGACAUUACAUGUAAUAAAUUUUUGAUUACAAGCCACUUCAGCGGAGAAAUUGCUUGGGAGUUGGACUUUAAAUCAUCACCUAUGAAAAUGACUAAUUUGCGGAACUUCAAUGUUUGCUAUGAUUGUAAUAUUAACAAAGCUUGUACAAAGGUAGCAGGAGAACUGUGGGAGGGAAGUGUAGAAGUUAUAAGUUAUUGGUAGGUUAUAAAUGUAAAGUUAAAAUCUAGAAAUAAAAUUAAAGUUAAGUAAAAGAAAAGAUUGUUAUUUCUGUGGUGGUGUUAGGAUGUCCCUACAUAGAUCCUCUUUAAUUCACUAUUCCUAUCAGUAACGUUAAUUUGUAAUCCUUGUUGAGCUGUAAAUUAUGAUAAUCAAGACUAUCAUCUGUUCCUGCCAUUGAGCGAUUGCUCAUAUUCUAGUCUAAUAGACCAAAUGCAGACGACCUGUCAGUGUUGUUCAAUUGUUUGUUCUUCCCCAACUGUCUAGUAUGUAGAAAGUGAUAAAGCAGGGUGGCCACCCAAGGGGGAAUAAGCCAGGAAUUUUUCUGAGAAACGAGAAAAUUACAUAAACAAUUUUUCCGUCUCAAAGAAUUUAUAAAAUUAAAGACAAUUUGACAACUUCUUGAAUCAAGAAUUUAUCAAUCUCGAAACAUUGUAUUAUACGCGACGUGGAUCAUGAAAUUGUGAAUGAUCAACAUAUGUUUGCGAGCUUCAUCUGAGGGUUGCCUCCACUAGUGUAUACAUCGAGAGAUUCCAUAUGGGCCCUGAGAAGUGCGACAUGGGAGUGGUGUGAUAUGGAGUGGGAGAAGCCGUCAAAAGAGGGGAGGGGCUGACUGCCGUCGCGCCACAAAGCGGUUGUGACCGCAAUACAAACAGGUCUAUGUAUUUAAAUAUUAUUCCAUCGCCGAAAUGGGGUUAUAAACAGGCUUAACACGUUGGCUACCGAUGAAAAAAAUUGGACUCUCAAAAUAGACCGACGUCCCGCCGGCGGGGCGCAGCGGUUUUCGUCGGGGACCAGCGUCCCGCCGGCGAGACUCACGGACUGUUUCUAGCGGACCGACGUCACGCGGGCGGGACGCAGACCACAAUUAGAAUAAUGUUGUUUUAUUUAUAGUUGGUCAGAUUUAAUGCCUUGGUUCUUGGAUAUCGGUCUAUAGGAAUGUGUGCCCCGCCCGUGGGUCGCGUGGUCCCUGUGUGGGAAUUUUUUUCUCACGUUGCAGAGCAUUUAAGUUGUCUCACCUGUUGUUUACUAUAUUGCACUUUUACCUGUUGCUUAGAUGUUGUGAGGCUCAGGUUUCACUCUGUUACGAUAGUUUGUUUUCAUUUUGAGGUUAUUUAAUGAUCUUCGUUAGAUUUCGUGAAUAUUUACGAACACUGGAGUCUUGUAAUAUGAAGAGAAAAAAACCAAACAGAUUGUUCUACAAUGAUAGUGACAUUGAAGAUGAAUUAGGCGAUUCCGAUGAACUAAGUUCGUUGUACAGUUCUAAUGGUGAGAGUAAGUGUGUUCCUGCAGACAGUAGUAACGAUGGUGAACCAAGUGAUGAAGAUGAAACUAGGCCGAUCACUGAACCUGAGAAUGUAAGUUUUAGUGUAGGCCUAGACGGAAAUGACCCGAUAUUUCACGAUCCAAACAUAGAGUUUGUACUUGAAAAUGUUGAUAAUAAUAUGAAUGAUGAUAUGACCAAUGACCCUAACGUUCAUUUUGUUGUGGAUAGGGAUCACAUGGGUUAUGACGAACGUCAACUAUGUUGGACUGAUAAAAACAAUAUUCCUCCAAUCCACAACUUUAUAGGCCAAGAAAAAAUAAACACUGAUUCAACAAAUCCCGUAGAAAUCUUUUCAAAACUUUUUGACGAUGCUCUCCUAAACAACAUUGUGACGUGGAUAAAUAACCGUGCUUUGCUUAUUCGUGGUAUGCCUUCCCCGAAACACUCACAUAAAUUGGUGGAAGCCUAUCACUAUUGAGGAACUAAAAAAGGUUAGGCUUAUGUAUGCUGAUGGGGAAUCUUAAGUUUUCAAGCCUUAAGCACUGCUGGUCGUCAUCUGAACUGUAUGAACACCCCAUUUUCAGCAAAACCAUGUCUAGAAACAGGUUUGAAUUAUUUCUAAGAUGCAUGUGUUUCUAUAACCCACAAUCUGGCUCAACCGAGGGAAAGUUACAUAAAUUUAAAAUGUCCUUAUCCAUCUUUUGCGUAACUUUGCCACAUGUUUUUCACCAGGAAAAUAUUUAUCGCUUGAUGAGGCGAUGGUGUUAUGGCGAGGCAGGUUGUCAUUUUGCCAAUACAUAAAAAAACAAACUACAUAAAUACAGUAUAAAACUGUACGAACUCUGCACCCUUGAUGGUUAUAUUCUGAACAUAAUAAUCUACACAGGUAAGGGUACACUGUCAAACCCAGAGAAAGGGCACACCUUUGAAGUAGUGACACGCCUUAUAUGGGGAAGGGACACAUGGUGUUUAUGGAUAACUUCUAUAACAGUGUAGACUUAGCUGAACACUUAGAUGCAAAUGACACCAUGUGUGGCACACUAGCGAGUAACAGAUCUGGAAAUCCAGAAGUGGUAGUAAGAGCCAAUUUGAAGAAAGGAGAUUGUAUAAGUAGACAAAAAGGUAAUGUCACAGUCAUGAAAUGGAAAGACAAAAGAAAUGUUUUGACCAUAUCAACGGCACAUGGACCAGAGAUGGAAGACGUAAGAAACAAAAGAGGAACAGAUACAAGUAAACCAAGUAUGGUUGUAUCAUACAAUAAAAAUAUGAGUAGAAUUGGUAGAAGCGACCAAAUGAUUUCAUAUUACUCAACGCCCAGAAAGUCUUUGAGGUGGUAUCUGAAGCUAUUCUUUCACCUCCCUAGAUGCUGCUAUGUGGACAGUAACUACAUAUAUUCACGAAACCUAGAAAACCUCUUUCAAGUACCUAGCAUUUAGAGACAUCAUCAUAUCUGAUUAUCUUCAGCUGCACCCUGUUACACCCAGAAGCGUUCGCCCAAGACUAUCUCAGGACCACAAGCUUAUGAGGAUGAGCCCAAGGGUAAGGUGUCGACAUUGUUUCAAGACUGACAAAAAAAAGAAAAAAUACAUACUACAUUUGUGACAAAUGCAAGGACAAAAAGGGACUACCUGUUGGAUUUACCCCACUUCCAUUAAUUGUCUUAAUGAUAGGUUGUGAAAAACUAGUUCAUUGCUGAGAUUUUACUGAAUCUACCUUUAUUGACUGACUCAAUCUUUUAUGUCAGUAUCAUGAAACUACUAUCAGAGGAGGGAUCUGUGUACCUUUUUAUGACCACCUUACAUAAAAGUUUGUAAUAAUUAAGUAUAACAAUAGGCCUAUAAGUAGAAAUAUUUUACCAGUAAUGACAACACUUUGUUUACUCCUGUGUGUGUGUUGACUAUAACAUCUGUCCAAAUGCAUACAUCCAUCUGCAGCAUUCUGUUGAUCUUAACAUCUGUUUUAAAAUGGCAAGAAUUGCAAUCCUAUUCCUUAUCUCAUUGAUUUUUUGUGGUCUCGUUUCAUAAAGGUUACUUUGUAAGAAUUCACAGAACAAAAAAUUUGUUGUAUUUAGAUCUGGUGAACGAGCUGCUCAUUGUAUUGCACCGUGCAGACCUAUUCAUCUGCCAGAAAACAGUCCAAUCAUUAUUACAUGAUAGUGCACCAUCGUGCUAACUGUAAACGGAGGUUAUAAUGUCAUACCUGUACCGAGUCAGAUAUAUUGUCUGAAAAUAUUGGUAUAUAUUGUUGUAGAAACACAGGAAGUUCAUAAAUAAUAAUAUGUAUGUCUUUAUUGCAAGUUGAGUAUACUUUCUUGUUUUCUAUUGUGCUUAUAAUUUUCUUCUGAAUCGUACACACUUUCACCUUCGAAAGACCUUUCCCAAACAAUUGUUUCAAAGAGCUAUUGAAGAUAAACACAGAUAUAGUAGAUACUUAUAAUAUUAUCUAAAUUGAAUUUUUUUUAAGAGUGAAAUUCAAAAUUAAUAAUUUAUUUUUUUUAAGAGGCUGUUCACGUUACGUCAAGUGAUAGUGAAUUUCUGAUUUCUUAUGUUUGUCAAUUUUAUAACAUUUAAUUAAAGCUUUGAAUUUAUUCCAGACUGGAUUACCACUAGCAAUGGAAAAUCUGCCCGUGGAAAUGGUAGAGAAUAUAGCCCAAUAUUUAACUACGAAAGAACUGGCAGCAUGCUGUGCUACCAGUCGAGUUUGGCGAGACAUUUUUGGUGAAGACAGUAUAUGGAAAUAUCGAUGUAACACACAUAUAGCCAAGUAUCUUGCUACUGCUGAGAGUAGAGUAAAUCCACAGUUUGUGAUACCGGAGUGUAUGAAUGUAGAAAACUCGUUAAAUCCACUGGGAGAGUGGAGAUUGUCUUAUUUACGAGAACAACUUCUAUGGAGUCAUUGGAAGAACAGGAAACAGGUGACUGAGCAUCUAACGUUGAUUGAUCAAUCUGAACCUGAAAAAGUAAGAGUCGGUGACAACGCGUUGUGUCAUUUUGUCACAGAUAACUAUUUGAUUACAUCAAAUGAGAAAAGAGUAAUGUUGUGGGAUGUCCGAAAUUGUCCUGUGUAUGUGAGUGAUCCCUUCAAGCUUUUAUCAUCUAACGGAGUGGAUUUUUGUUUAGCAUUGAGUAAUGACAAGAUUCUUAUUGUGCAGAAAACUCUUGUUCAGAUUUAUUAUUGCGGAUCACCUAUGAACUCCAACUGGAGUUUAGAACAAAACUUUUUGUUUGAUAGAUCUGAACUGAUUUCAUUAAGUAAAACAGAAGAAAUGGUGAAUUUUCCCCUUACUUUCAGUAACCUUGUGAUUGGGAAUUAUUUUGUAGGAAUCUUGUCUUCGGGAGAAAUGCACAUUUGGGAUCUUGCAUCUGGAACAAAGAUGAAGAAAGUUUCAUAUCCUGGCAGUAUGAAUGAUGAGAUCAUUAAAGUUGUAAGUUCUAUGACACCACCAACAGACAUCGUUGUUGUAAUUCAAAGAAAUUCCAUGUAUCACUUCUUUGUCUUCUGUUUUGCCAGUUUGGAUUUUUAUCCCUUUACAACUAGUCAUGACAAUCAGAGAUUUCCUUCUUGUGCAAUCCAAAACGGAUUGUUGGCUAUCAGUUUAAAUGGCCAUUUUAAAGUGUUUGAUUAUCGCACCUCACAGUUGGCGUUAGUAGUGCCUGCCGAAUACUCAGUAGGAGUGUUGACCUUAGACAGUUCUUUUCUUUUUAUAUCAAAGAAUACUGUACACGUAUUCAAUACUAUCACAGCAUCUUUUGAAUCAGUACUUCUAGCAUUAAUAGAUCCAUUUGAAGAUAUAAACAGUAUAACUGACAUUACAUGUAAUAAAUUUUUGAUUACAAGCCACUUCAGCGGAGAAAUUGCUUGGGAGUUGGACUUUAAAUUAUCACCUAUGAAAAUGACUAAUUUGUGGAACUUCAAUGUUUGUUAUAAUUGUACUAUUAACAAAGCUUGUACAAAGGUAGCAGAAAAGCUGUGGGAUGGAAGUGUAGAAGUUAUAAGUUAUUGGUAGACCUACAAUCUGGAAUGGAAAAACUUCCUGCGGAAGUUGUGGAAAUUAUAGCGCAAUAUUUGACAACAAGAGAACUUGCAGCAUGCUGUGCGACCAGUCGUGUCUGGCGAGACAUGUUUGGUCAAGACAAUAUAUGGAAACAGCGCUGUGACACGCAUAUAGCCAAGUAUCUUGCUACUGCUGAGAGUAGAGUGAAUCCACAGUUUGUUGCCCCAGAGUGUACGGAUAUAGAAAACUCUUUAAAUUCUGUGGGAGAGUGGAGACUUGCUUACUUGCGUGAACAAUUCCUAUGGAGACACUGGAGAAAUGGAAAUUUUCUGAUGGAACAGCUAACUUUGAAUAGUUCGUCCGAACGUGAAGAAAUAGCACGGUAUCAAUUCUUAUUCACAUUGUUCUAUUUUGUUACAGAUGACUAUUUGAUUAUAUUAAACAAGAAACGAGUUAUGUUGUGGUACAUCCGCAAUAGUCCCGUAUAUGUGAGCGACCCCUUUCAGCUUUUGUUUCAUGACUAUGAGACGUCCUUUUUGACAUUCCUUAACAACAAGCUUAUCAUCGUGCAGAAAACGGCUGUUAAAAUUUUUGACUGUGGAUUACCAUUGAAAUCAAACUGGAUUCUCGAAACAAGCUUUAUGUUUGAUAGAACAGAAUGUGUUCCAUUAAGUAAAGGAGUUGAAAUUAGCGAUUUUCCUAAAACUUUUGGUUGUCUCGUGAUUGAAAAUUUGUUUUUAGGCAUCUUGUCCUCAGGAGAAAUACACGUUUGGAAUCUUAAAUCUAAUACAAAACUGAAGAAAGUUUCAUAUCUUAAUAGUACUACGAAUGGUAUGGCCGUUAAAGUGGUAAAUUCUAAAACACCACUGAUGGAUAUUGUACUUGUGGUUCGCAUAAACACCACGUAUCACUACUUUGUAUUCUGUUUUGCCAAUCUGGACUUUUAUCCCUUCAACACUAGUCAUAGCGAUAAGACAUUUCCUUCUUGUGGUAUACAAAACGGAUUGUUGGCUAUCAGUUUUAACGACUGUUUCAAAGUCUUUGACUACCGCACCUCCCAGUUGGUGAUGAUAGUGCCUGCUUUCUACACAGCAGGAGUGCUAACCUUAAAUAAUGACUUUCUUCUUGUAACGAAUACCACUGUACACGUAUUCCACACUAUCACUGGAACUUGGGAAUCAAUACUUUUAUCGUUAGUCGAUCAAUUUAAAUAUAUACAAAUGUUACAUGGCAUUAAAUGUGGUAAAUUUUUAAUAACGAGCGAUGGCCAGGGACUACAACAAGGACAAACCGCGUGGGACAUUGACCUGAAAUCAACUCCCAUGAAAAUUGUCUGUCUGGAGAAGUUCAACUUUUGCAAUAAUUAUGUUAUUAACAAAGCGUGUACAAAGGUAGCAAGCAGGUCAUGGGAUGGAUUUAUACAAAUUGUAAGCUACUGGUAGUCUAGCAACAUUUACCUGUUUUUGUUUGUUUUAAUGUUAUUGAUCGGUUAAGAAUUUAGACUAUUUUGUCUUAGAUUAUUUGUUUACAUAUUAUUUUGUGCUAAUUGAUUAGAAUAUGUUAACUGUUGUCCGUAAUCUUAAUAACAAGAAUUAAAGAAUUAUGUUCAAA
RNA transcript from Homalodisca vitripennis (glassy-winged sharpshooter), 8981 nucleotides. It is a transcript of the gene named F-box/WD repeat-containing protein 7-like, with no coding region annotated. The transcript has 4 exons. The record is from RefSeq and is a predicted model, not a curated record. Lineage: Eukaryota; Metazoa; Arthropoda; Insecta; Hemiptera; Cicadellidae.